GCCUACGGGGGGCAGCAGUGGGGAAUAUUGCGCAAUGGGCGAAAGCCUGAUGCAGCGACGCCGCGUGAGGGAUGAAGGUCUUCGGAUCGUAAACCUCUGUCAGCAGGGAAGAACGGUCACUGUGCUAAUCAGCAGUGAAUUGACGGUACCUGCAAAGGAAGCACCGGCUAACUCCGUGCCAGCAGCCGCGGUAAUACGGAGGGUGCGAGCGUUAAUCGGAAUUACUGGUCGUAAAGCGCUCGUAGGCGGUAUGUCAAGUCAAGGGUGAAAUCCCCGCGCUCAACGUGGGAACUGCCUUUGAAACU
RNAcentral lists this ribosomal RNA (305 nucleotides) under uncultured bacterium. RNAcentral describes it as "bacterial SSU rRNA". It matches the Rfam family "Bacterial small subunit ribosomal RNA", at positions 337 to 634 of the family's 1533-position model. The record is from RNAcentral.